RNAcentral lists this ribosomal RNA (789 nucleotides) under uncultured archaeon. RNAcentral describes it as "bacterial SSU rRNA". It matches the Rfam family "Archaeal small subunit ribosomal RNA", at positions 85 to 876 of the family's 1478-position model. The record is from RNAcentral.
ACGGCUCAGUAACACGUGGAUAACCUAACUUAGGACUGGAAUAACCCCGGGAAACUGGGGACAAUGCAGAUAUGUGGGGCUGCCUGGAAUGGUACCUCAUUGAAAUGCUCCGGCGCCUAAGGAUGGAUCUGCGGCAGAUUAGGUAGUUGGCGGGGUAAAUGCCCACCAAGCCAGUAAUCUGUACGGGUUGUGAGAGCAAGAGCCCGGAGAUGGAACCUGAGACAAGGUUCCAGGCCCUACGGGGCACAGCAGGCGCGAAACCUCCGCAAUGCGAGCAAUCGCGACGGGGGAAACCCAAGUACCACUCUUAACGGGGUGGUUUUUCUGAAGUGUAAAAAGCUUCAGGAAUAAGAGCUGGGCAAGACCGGUGCCAGCCGCCGCGGUAACACCGGCAGCUCUAGUGGUAGCAGUUUUUAUUGGGCCUAAAGCGUCCGUAGCCGGUUUAAUAAGUCUCUGGUGAAAUCCUGUAGCUUAACUGUGGGAAUUGCUGGAGAUACUAUUAGACUUGAGACCGGGAGAGGUUAGAGGUACUCCCAGGGUAGAGGUGAAAUUCUGUAAUCCUGGGAGGACCGCCUGUUGCGAAGGCGUCUAACUGGAACGGGUCUGACGGUGAGGGACGAAACCUAGGGGAGCGAGCCGGAUUAGAUACCCGGGUAGUCCUAGGCGUAAAUGAUGCGAGUUAAGUGUGGGGGCAUCUACGAGAUGGCCCUGUGCUGUAGGGUAGCCGUUAAACUCGCUGCCUGGGGAGUACGGUCGCAAGGCUGAAACUUAAAGGAAUUGGCGGGGGAG